UGGGAAGUAUUGACAAUGGCGGAAGACCUCGAUCCAGCCAUGCCGCGUGUGUGAAGAAGGUCUUCGGAUUGUAAAGCACUUUAAGUUGGGAGGAAGGGCAGUAAGUUAAUACCUUGCUGUUUUGACGUUACCAACAGAAUAAGCACCGGCUAACUUCGUGCCAGCAGCCGCGGUAAUACGAAGGGUGCAAGCGUUAAUCGGAAUUACUGGGCGUAAAGCGCGCGUAGGUGGUUUGGUAAGAUGGAUGUGAAAUCCCGCGCACAGCAUGGACUGACUAGCCUGACUAGAGUACGGUAGAGGGUGGUGGAAUUUCCUGUGUAGCGGUGAAAUGCGUUAGAUAUAGGAAGGAACACCAGUGGCGAAGGCGACCACCUGGACUGAUACUGACACUGAGGUGCG
RNAcentral lists this ribosomal RNA (399 nucleotides) under uncultured Pseudomonadaceae bacterium. Its description in RNAcentral is "bacterial SSU rRNA". It matches the Rfam family "Bacterial small subunit ribosomal RNA", at positions 356 to 755 of the family's 1533-position model. Lineage: Bacteria; Pseudomonadati; Pseudomonadota; Gammaproteobacteria; Pseudomonadales; Pseudomonadaceae. The record is from RNAcentral.